Molecule: ribosomal RNA, 466 nt
Filed under: uncultured bacterium
Lineage: Bacteria
Description: bacterial SSU rRNA
Rfam family: Bacterial small subunit ribosomal RNA
Source: RNAcentral
UAGGGAAUAUUGGGCAAUGGAGGGAACUCUGACCCAGCCAUGCCGCGUGCAGGAUGAAGGCGUUAUGCGUUGUAAACUGCUUUUAUAUAGGAAGAAAUAGUCCUUGCGAGGAAAGUUGACGGUACUAUAUGAAUAAGCACCGGCUAACUCCGUGCCAGCAGCCGCGGUAAUACGGAGGGUGCAAGCGUUGUCCGGAUUUAUUGGGUUUAAAGGGUGCGUAGGCGGUUUAUUAAGUCAGUGGUGAAAGACGGUCGCUCAACGAUUGCAGUGCCAUUGAUACUGGUAGACUUGAGUAUGAUUGAGGUAGCUGGAAUGGAUAGUGUAGCGGUGAAAUGCAUAGAUAUUAUCCAGAACACCAAUUGCGUAGGCAAGUUACUAAGUCAUAACUGACGCUGAGGCACGAAAGUGUGGGUAUCAAACAGGAUUAGAUACCCUUGUAGUCCCUGAGCGGGCUGGCAAGGCGCAU